UACGUAGGGGGCGAGCGUUAUCCGGAAUUACUGGGUGUAAAGGGUGCGUAGGCGGCACUUUAAGUCAGUUGUGAAACCCACAGGCUCAACUUGUGGCUUGCAAUUGAAACUGGAGAGCUAGAGUGCAGGAGAGGAAAGCGGAAUUCCUAGUGUAGCGGUGAAAUGCGUAGAUAUUAGGAAGAACACCGGUGGCGAAGGCGGCUUUCUGGACUGCAACUGACGCUGAGGCACGAAAGCGUGGGGAGCAAACAGG
RNAcentral lists this ribosomal RNA (253 nucleotides) under uncultured bacterium. RNAcentral's name for it is "partial 16S ribosomal RNA". It matches the Rfam family "Bacterial small subunit ribosomal RNA", at positions 524 to 776 of the family's 1533-position model. The record is from RNAcentral.